Molecule: ribosomal RNA, 497 nt
Filed under: uncultured bacterium
Lineage: Bacteria
Description: partial 16S ribosomal RNA
Rfam family: Bacterial small subunit ribosomal RNA
Source: RNAcentral
GAUGAACGCUGGCGGCGUGCCUAAUACAUGCAAGUCGAGCGAACAGACGAGGAGCUUGCUCCUCUGACGUUAGCGGCGGACGGGUGAGUAAUACGUGGAUAACCUACCUAUAAGACUGGGAUAACUUCGGGAAACCGGAGCUAAUACCGGAUAAUAUAUUGAACCGCAUGGUUCAAUAGUGAAAGACGGUUUUGCUGUCACUUAUAGAUGGAUCCGCGCCGCAUUAGCUAGUUGGUAAGGUAACGGCUUACCAAGGCAACGAUGCGUAGCCGACCUGAGAGGGUGAUCGGCCACACUGGAACUGAGACACGGUCCAGACUUCUACGGGAGGCAGCAGUAGGGAAUCUUCCGCAAUGGGCGAAAGCCUGACGGAGCAACGCCGCGUGAGUGAUGAAGGUCUUCGGAUCGUAAAACUCUGUUAUUAGGGAAGAACAAAUGUGUAAGUAACUAUGCACGUCCUGACGGUACCUAAUCAGAAAGCCACGGCUAACUACGUG